GACGAACGCUGGCGGCGUGCUUAACACAUGCAAGUCGAACGGAAAGGCCCUGCUUUCGUGGGGUUCUCGCGUGGCGAACGGGUGAGUAACACGUGAGUAUCCUGCCCUUGACUUUGUGAUAACUUCAGGAAACUGGUGCUAAUACCGGAUAGGAGCUCCUGCUGCAUGGUGGGGGUCGGACAGUUUCGGCGGAUGGGGAUGGACUCGCGGGUUAUCAGCUUGUUGGUGGGGUAGUGGCUUACCGAGGCUUUGACGGGUAGCCGGCCUGAGAGGGUGAAAGGCCACAUUGGGACUGAGAUACGGACCAGACUCCUACGGGAGGCAGAGGUGGGAAGUAUUGCACAGUGGGCGGAAGUGUGAUGCAGCAACGCUGCGUGCGGGAUGACGGCCAUCGGGUUGUAAAGCGCAUUCGGCUGUGACGAAGCGUGAGUGACGGUAAUGGGUGAAGAAGCACCGGCUAACUACGUG
Molecule: ribosomal RNA, 468 nt
Filed under: uncultured bacterium
Lineage: Bacteria
Description: partial 16S ribosomal RNA
Rfam family: Bacterial small subunit ribosomal RNA
Source: RNAcentral